GUCUUUUUGAUUUAUAUAUAAAGUCUGACCUGCCCACUGAAAAUUUUAAAUGGCUGCAGUAAUUUGACUGUACAAAGGUAGCAUAAUCAUUAGUUUUUUAAUUAAAAGCUUGUAUGAAAGGUUGGACGAAGUAAAAUCUGUCUCUUUUUAAUAUAAUUAGAAUUUAAUUUUUAAGUAAAAAAGCUUAAAUUUUUAUAAAAGACGAGAAGACCCUAUAGAGUUUAAUAAUUUUAAUAAAAUAUUUAAUUAAGAUUUAUUAAUUUUAUUUAAUUAAAAUUAUUUUAUUGGGGUAAUAAAAAGAUUAAAAAAAUUCUUUUUUUUUAAUACAUUAAUUUAUGAAUAUAUGAUCCAUUUGUAGUGAUUAAAAGAUUAAAUUACCUUAGGGAUAACAGCGUAAUUUUUUUAAAGAGUUCUUAUCGAUAAAAAAGUUUGCGACCUCGAUGUUGGAUUAAAGAUUAAUUUAGGUGUAGAAGUUUAAAUUUUUGGUCUGUUCGACCAUUAAAUCUUUACAUGAUCUGAGUUCAAACCGGUGUAAGCCAGGUUGGUUUCUAUCUUUAUUAAUUUUUUAUAUUUUAGUACGAAAGGACCAAAUAUAAAAUAUAUAAAUAUUUUUAUUUUGAAUAUUAUU
Molecule: ribosomal RNA, 628 nt
Filed under: Trechisibus antarcticus
Lineage: Eukaryota; Metazoa; Arthropoda; Insecta; Coleoptera; Carabidae
Description: partial 16S ribosomal RNA
Rfam family: Bacterial large subunit ribosomal RNA (bases 385-543)
Source: RNAcentral